GUGGGGAAUCUUGCGCAAUGGGCGAAAGCCUGACGCAGCCAUGCCGCGUGAAUGAUGAAGGUCUUAGGAUUGUAAAAUUCUUUCACCGGGGACGAUAAUGACGGUACCCGGAGAAGAAGCUCCGGCUAACUUCGUGCCAGCAGCCGCGGUAAUACGAAGGGGGCUAGCGUUGCUCGGAAUUACUGGGCGUAAAGGGCGCGUAGGCGGACAGCUUAGUCAAAGGUGAAAGCCCAGGGCUCAACCUUGGAAUUGCCUUUGAUACUGGCUGUCUUGAGUUUGGGAGAGGUGAGUGGAACUCCGAGUGUAGAAGUAAAAUUCGUAGAUAUUCGGAAGAACACCAGUGGCGAAGGCGACUCACUGGCCCAAUACUGACGCUGAGGCGCGAAAGCGUGGGGAGCAAACAGGAUUAGAUACCCUUGUAGUCC
Molecule: ribosomal RNA, 425 nt
Filed under: uncultured bacterium
Lineage: Bacteria
Description: partial 16S ribosomal RNA
Rfam family: Bacterial small subunit ribosomal RNA
Source: RNAcentral